GAUGAACCUUCUCGACAGGCUUAACACAUGCAAGUCGAGGGGCAGCAUGGUCUUAGCUUGCUAAGGCCGAUGGCGACCGGCGCACGGGUGAGUAACACGUAUCCAACCUGCCGUCUACUCUUGGACAGCCUUCUGAAAGGAAGAUUAAUACAAGAUGGCAUCAUGAGUCCGCAUGUCCACAUGAUUAAAGGUAUUCCGGUAGACGAUGGGGAUGCGUUCCAUUAGAUAGUAGGCGGGGUAACGGCCCACCUAGUCUUCGAUGGAUAGGGGUUCUGAGAGGAAGGUCCCCCACAUUGGAACUGAGACACGGUCCAAACUCCUACGGGAGGCAGCAGUGAGGAAUAUUGGUCAAUGGGCGAGAGCCUGAACCAGCCAAGUAGCGUGAAGGAUGACUGCCCUAUGGGUUGUAAACUUCUUUUAUAAAGGAAUAAAGUCGGGUAUGCAUACCCGUUUGCAUGUACUUUAUGAAUAAGGAUCGGCUAACUCCGUGCCAGCAGCCGCGGUAAUACGGAGGAUCCGAGCGUUAUCCGGAUUUAUUGGGUUUAAAGGGAGCGUAGAUGGAUGUUUAAGUCAGUUGUGAAAGUUUGCGGCUCAACCGUAAAAUUGCAGUUGAUACUGGAUAUCUUGAGUGCAGUUGAGGCAGGCGGAAUUCGUGGUGUAGCGGUGAAAUGCUUAGAUAUCACGAAGAACUCCGAUUGCGAAGGCAGCCCGCUAAGCUGCAACUGACAUUGAGGCUCGAAAGUGUGGGUAUCAAACAGGAUUAGAUACCCUGGUAGUCCACACGGUAAACGAUGAAUACUCGCUGCUUGCGAUAUACAGCAAGCGGCCAAGCGAAAGCGUUAAGUAUUCCACCUGGGGAGUACGCCGGCAACGGUGAAACUCAAAGGAAUUGACGGGGGCCCGCACAAGCGGAGGAACAUGUGGUUUAAUUCGAUGAUACGCGAGGAACCUUACCCGGGCUUAAAUUGCAGAUGAAUUACGGUGAAAGCCGUAAGCCGCAAGGCAUCUGUGAAGGUGCUGCAUGGUUGUCGUCAGCUCGUGCCGUGAGGUGUCGGCUUAAGUGCCAUAACGAGCGCAACCCUUGUUGUCAGUUACUAACAGGUUCCGCUGAGGACUCUGACAAGACUGCCAUCGUAAGAUGUGAGGAAGGUGGGGAUGACGUCAAAUCAGCACGGCCCUUACGUCCGGGGCUACACACGUGUUACAAUGGGGGGUACAGAGGGCCGCUACCACGCGAGUGGAUGCCAAUCCCAAAAACCUCUCUCAGUUCGGACUGGAGUCUGCAACCCGACUCCACGAAGCUGGAUUCGCUAGUAAUCGCGCAUCAGCCACGGCGCGGUGAAUACGUUCCCGGGCCUUGUACACACCGCCCGUCAAGCCAUGGGAGCCGGGGGUACCUGAAGUGCGUAACCAAGAGGAGCGCCCUAGGGUAAAACUGGUGACUGGGGCUAAG
This 1453-nucleotide ribosomal RNA is filed under the name uncultured organism. Its description in RNAcentral is "SSU rRNA". It matches the Rfam family "Bacterial small subunit ribosomal RNA". The record is from RNAcentral.